This is a long non-coding RNA of Lathyrus oleraceus (garden pea), 691 nucleotides long. RefSeq lists it as uncharacterized. The record is from RefSeq and is a predicted model, not a curated record. NCBI's taxonomy places the organism in Eukaryota, Viridiplantae, Streptophyta, Magnoliopsida, Fabales, Fabaceae. The transcript is spliced from 2 exons.
GAAGCUGAGUGAAUGAUUCAGCAAAAGCACACGUUACAUGAGGAACACAUAUUUCAUGUGCUAUUAUUUAGAGUAAGAAUAAAAUCAAUGAAGCUCCCUCCACAGAGUUCAGCUCCUCCUCCUCUGUGCCGGAGGUCGCCUCCAGCGGCGGCGGAACCCUAGUGUCCAAAAUAACUACAUCAUCUUUUUCACCUCAUUCUUCUGAUUCCAAAUAUCACGUUUAUAUCCCCUGAUUCUUCCUAAACAAACUAAAUCGAAGCCACAUGUCGAAGAAACCUAAACCUUAGAACUAAAAUUAAAUCCUUCACUCUCGUAAUCAACCCCCUAGAGGUUAGGGCUUUGAUUCCUCUGAACCUCCCAUACACCAUGGCAACAAGCACGAAGUGAACAGAUGAAGAAAAUGAAAGCAACUCACCAGAGCAACGCUAGAGUUCAGGUGAUGGACAAGUGUAAAGAUGAUGUGGAUCUUAAAGAACAAGGACAUUAGGGUUUAGGGGUGUUGACAUGAUGAGUUGACUUUGGUCAACUGGUUAACCGAAAAGUCAAAGUUGACCAAAGUUAACUUAUCCAAAAAGAAUGUAUUUCUUUGUAAUUUUUCAAUGAAACAUGUAUGGACAAUGUAAUUAGUGAAUGGAAUGUAGUUUUUAGUAAAAUGUUCUAAUGAAACACAUGAAACAAAUUUGAAGUCAAA